Molecule: ribosomal RNA, 521 nt
Filed under: uncultured bacterium
Lineage: Bacteria
Description: bacterial SSU rRNA
Rfam family: Bacterial small subunit ribosomal RNA
Source: RNAcentral
AGAGUUUGAUCAUGGCUCAGAUUGAACGCUGGCGGAAUGCUUUACACAUGCAAGUCGAACGGCAGCACGGACUUCGGUCUGGUGGCGAGUGGCGAACGGGUGAGUAAUACAUCGGAACGUGCCCAGUCGUGGGGGAUAACGUAGCGAAAGUUACGCUAAUACCGCAUACGAUCUAAGGAUGAAAGCGGGGGACCGUAAGGCCUCGCGCGAUUGGAGCGGCCGAUGUCAGAUUAGGUAGUUGGUGGGGUAAAGGCUCACCAAGCCAACGAUCUGUAGCUGGUCUGAGAGGACGACCAGCCACACUGGAACUGAGACACGGUCCAGACUCCUACGGGAGGCAGCAGUGGGGAAUUUUGGACAAUGGACGCAAGUCUGAUCCAGCCAUUCCGCGUGCAGGAUGAAGGCCCUCGGGUUGUAAACUGCUUUUGUACGGAACGAAAAGGCUCUUCCUAAUACGAGGGGCUCAUGACGGUACCGUAAGAAUAAGCACCGGCUAACUACGUGCCAGCAGCCGCGGUAAU